UCGGGAAUUUUGGGCAAUGGGCGAAAGCCUGACCCAGCAACGCCGCGUGAAGGAUGAAGUAUUUCGGUAUGUAAACUUCGAAAGAAUAGGAAGAAUAAAUGACGGUACUAUUUAUAAGGUCCGGCUAACUACGUGCCAGCAGCCGCGGUAAUACGUAGGGACCAAGCGUUGUUCGGAUUUACUGGGCGUAAAGGGCGCGUAGGCGGCAAUUCAAGUCAUCUGUGAAAUCUCCGGGCUUAACUCGGAACGGUCAGAUGAUACUGCUUUGCUAGAGUGCAGAAGGGGCAAUCGGAAUUCUUGGUGUAGCGGUGAAAUGCGUAGAUAUCAAGAGGAACACCUGAGGUGAAGACGGUUGCUGGGCUGACACUGACGCUGAGGCGCGAAAGCCAGGGGAGCAAACGGGAUUAGAUACCCUAGUAGUCCCUGAGCGGGCUGGCAAGGCGCAU
This 446-nucleotide ribosomal RNA is filed under the name uncultured bacterium. RNAcentral's name for it is "bacterial SSU rRNA". It matches the Rfam family "Bacterial small subunit ribosomal RNA", at positions 355 to 825 of the family's 1533-position model. The record is from RNAcentral.